Molecule: ribosomal RNA, 779 nt
Filed under: uncultured organism
Description: bacterial SSU rRNA
Rfam family: Bacterial small subunit ribosomal RNA
Source: RNAcentral
AACCCUGACGCAGCAACGCCGCGUGAGUGAAGAAAGCCUUUGGGUCGUAAAGCUCUGUCAACUGGGAAGAAAUUGUCUGAUAUUAAUAGUGUCAGUCAUUGACGGUACCAGUGGAGGAAGCGCCGGCUAACUCCGUGCCAGCAGCCGCGGUAACACUGGGGGCGCAAUCGUUAUUCGGAAUUAUUGGGCGUAAAGGGCGCGCAGGCGGUCUUGUCAGUCAGGUGUGAAAGCCCGGGUGCUCACCCUGGAAGUGCAUUUGAAACAGCAAGACUUGAAUACUGGAGAGGAAAGCGGAAUUCCUGGUGUAUAGGUGAAAUUCGUAGAUAUCAGGAGGAACAGCUAUGGCGAAAGCAGCUUUCUGGACAGAUAUUGAACGCUGAGGCGCGAAGGCGUGGGUAGCGAACAGGAUUAGAUACCCUGGUAGUCCACGCAGUAAAUGUUGUACACUCGUGUGUAUCGGCUAUUCAAAUUCUGAUGUGCCUAAGGCUAACGCAUUAAGUGUACCGCCUGGGAAGCACGGUCACAAGACUGGCACUCAAAGGAAUCGACGGGGGCCCGCACAAGCGGUGGAACAUGUGGAUUAAUUCGACGCAACGCGAAGUACCUUACCUGCGUUUCACAUCCUGUGAAUAUAGGGUAAUUCCAAUAGUGCAUUCGGGAGCACAGAGACAGGUGCAGCAUGGCUGUCGUCAGCUCGCGUCGUGAGAUGUUUGGUUAAGUCCAGCAACGAGCACAACCCUCAUCGUUAGUUGCCAGCUACAUAAUGGUGGGAACUCUAG